GAUGAAGAACGUAGCGAAAUGCGAUAAGUAAUGCGAAUUGCAGAAUUCAGUGAAUCAUCGAGUUUUUGAACGCACAUUGCGCCCGCCAGCAUCCUGGCGGGCAUGCCUGUUCGAGCGUCAUUUCAACCCUCAAGCCCAGCUUGGUGUUGGGGAUCGGCACAGGCGCCCUCGGGCGCCCGCCGUCCCCUAAAUCUAGUGGCGGUCCCGCUGCAGCCUCCUCUGCGUAGUAGUUUUCUCCUCGCAAGGGCAGCUCGGUGGCGACCUCGCCGUAAAACCCCCAACUUCUGAAAGGUUGACCUCGAAUCAGGUAGGAAUACCCGCUGAACUUAAGCAUAUCAAUAAGCGGAGGA
RNAcentral lists this unclassified non-coding RNA (350 nucleotides) under soil metagenome. RNAcentral's name for it is "partial contains 5.8S ribosomal RNA, internal transcribed spacer 2, and large subunit ribosomal RNA". The stretch from base 1 to 120 matches the Rfam family "5.8S ribosomal RNA", at positions 35 to 154 of the family's 154-position model. The record is from RNAcentral.